CUCCCCCUCACUGUCUCACUCCCACAACACAACACCCAUUUCUCAUCCGCCGGUUCUCAUCGGAGGACCUCCAACAAACAGCGCAAGGGUUUCCAGUCACGCUUCGCCGCCAUGAGAGCCAAGUGGAAGAAGAAGAGGAUGAGGAGGUUGAAGAGGAAGCGCCGAAAGAUGAGGCAGAGAUCUAAGUGAGAGGAGCAGCUGCGUGGAGCUCGUUCGCAUGGCGGAUCUUCUGACCCCUAGGGUUUUGGAUCUUGUCAGACUUAGCGGUUUGUUUAGAAUUAAUGUGAAACCUUUGAUGUUCUUAUCUUUUUACCUUUGCUACCUUUCUUACUAUUCAAAUGAAAUUUGACUGCUUUUUAUAA
Pyrus x bretschneideri (Chinese white pear) is the source of this 362-nucleotide long non-coding RNA. RefSeq lists it as uncharacterized. The transcript is spliced from 2 exons. The record is from RefSeq and is a predicted model, not a curated record. Lineage: Eukaryota; Viridiplantae; Streptophyta; Magnoliopsida; Rosales; Rosaceae.